GGCUCAGGAUGAACGCUAGCGGCAGGCUUAACACAUGCAAGUCGAGGGGUAUAGUUCUUCGGAACUAGAGACCGGCGCACGGGUGCGUAACGCGUAUGCAAUCUACCUUUACAGAGGGAUAGCCCAGAGAAAUUUGGAUUAAUACCUCAUAGUAUGUGAGAAUCGCAUGGUUUUCACAUUAAAGUUCCAACGGUAAAAGAUGAGCAUGCGUCCCAUUAGCUAGAUGGUAAGGUAACGGCUUACCAUGGCAACGAUGGGUAGGGGUCCUGAGAGGGAGAUCCCCCACACUGGUACUGAGACACGGACCAGACUCCUACGGGAGGCAGCAGUGAGGAAUAUUGGACAAUGGGCGCAAGCCUGAUCCAGCCAUGCCGCGUGCAGGAUGACGGUCCUAUGGAUUGUAAACUGCUUUUGUACAGGAAGAAACACUCCCUCGUGAGGGAGCUUGACGGUACUGUAAGAAUAAGGAUCGGCUAACUCCGUG
RNAcentral lists this ribosomal RNA (484 nucleotides) under uncultured bacterium. RNAcentral describes it as "bacterial SSU rRNA". It matches the Rfam family "Bacterial small subunit ribosomal RNA", at positions 21 to 507 of the family's 1533-position model. The record is from RNAcentral.